RNAcentral lists this transfer RNA (73 nucleotides) under Anguilla anguilla (European eel). Its description in RNAcentral is "tRNA-OTHER". Lineage: Eukaryota; Metazoa; Chordata; Actinopteri; Anguilliformes; Anguillidae. The record is from RNAcentral.
AGCAGUGUAGGAUAGUGGUUAGGAAACUGGGCUUGUAACCCAGAGGUUGUGGGUUCAAUUACCAGCUGGGUGU